This is a long non-coding RNA of Anolis carolinensis (green anole), 1606 nucleotides long. RefSeq lists it as uncharacterized. The record is from RefSeq and is a predicted model, not a curated record. Lineage: Eukaryota; Metazoa; Chordata; Lepidosauria; Squamata; Anolidae. The transcript has 3 exons.
CACCAGUCGUGCCUGUGAGGGAGGUGAGACCAAGAGCAGGGCCUCCCCAGACAAUCUUAAUCUCCUAGAUGAUUCAUAGAGGGAGAUGCGUUCAGACAGGUAAGCUGGACCGGAACUGUUUAGGGCUUUAUAGGCUAAAGCCAGCACUUUGAAUUGUGCUUGGUAGCACACUGGCAGCCAAUGGAGCUGAUGUAACAGGGGGGCUGUAUGUUCCCUGUUUGCCGGUGUAGACUCCAUCUACAUUCAGGUCCUUUCACACUACACAGUUACAGUACUACAGUAUAUGGUUUUACCUAUCAUGGAAUCUUGGUUUGUAGUUUGGUAUAAAUUGUAAGUCCAAGACUUCCAUAAAAUGGAACCAUGGCAGUUAAAGUAAAAACUUAAUAUUUGUGUCGUACAAAACAGCUCUCAGCUCUUAGUGUUAACCGACUGUAUGUCAGUGCAAACCACAAGAGGCGUAUGCUUACGUGUUCAUGCGAGGGGAGUGCCAGGUGGGGUUUGUUGUGUAGGAGGCAGAUGGGAGCAGGGGUCAAAAAAACAAUGAUUCCAUGAAACUUUGCAUAAAAUCUUACCACAAAAUGGGCAGGGGUGUGUGUAUGCUCCAUGUUAAACAUAGAUAAAGUAUCAAAGGGCAAAGAAAGAAGAAAACAACAAGCUAUCAGAGAAGAACCUGGCACAGAUUUCCUUUUUAUAGAUUGCAUUUGAUUCACAUCAAACAGAAGACACCUUUGUUCCUAAUAGGGCUGUGCGUCAGUAAAUAGAGGGCUCUGCUUCCAAAAAGCAGAAGAUAAAUAGACGGGAAGCUCUGUAUGAUGACGACGACAAGCAAGCCCUUGAUCCCACCCUGAGCUCAGGUAUUCCCAAUUUGGAUCUAGUUUUGUUGGCCCUCAAGACCAAAACAACAAAUUUUGCUUUCAAUAUCAAUCCCAAGUGGUUUUAGCUGUGGAUAAGAUCGGCUAAAGCCAUUUUAAGGGACCACAUGUGCAUACAGCAUAUUGCAUCGAGACAUCAGAAAUGGAGAAGAGGUGUACUUCAAUGGCAGUGCAUAUGCUUUGCAGGCAAAAAAUCCCAGGUGGAGCCCUCAACAUAUUCUUGACCAGUAAGACAUUAAUUAUCUACUCUGGAUUGACGCUGGACUGACUGACUGACUACGACCCUGGACUAUCCCUUCUGUGGCUAUCGGUGGAACUUGUGGACGUCUGCACUUGGCUUUCGACCUUGGACCGGAUUGGGACCCAUGCUGACCGUCGUUACCCUGAUUGAUGUGCCUGGACCCGGAUUUCGCUCGUUGCACGGAGGAGUAAACAGCCUGAGUUACUCAUCUGUAGCUUUUGAGUAGCAGAGAGGAAUCUGCUGCCAGUUUUUUGUGUUCAUUUUGACCUCUGUUUUCCAACUUUUGUUUGUUUAAAUUGUCAGGCUGAAGUAAGCACUUUUGCUUUAAUCCGGAUUAAACUCCUGUUUAAUCCGGUUUAUCCUUUGGAACCGUUUUAAUUCAAACGGAGCUGUUUCUGUUACUUUUCACACUGAAGACAAGUGUUUGCCUAGUCCUUUGCUUCCUACGGGCAUUUCUCAGUUCUGUAACUUUAAUAAACUGUGUUGUACUCUA